UGCGAGGGCAUAUAGUCCUCGCUUUUCUCAACCGUAGGGAGGUUGAGGAACAAGUGCUGGGCAAGACCGGUGCCAGCCGCCGCGGUAAUACCGGCAGCACAAGUGAUGACCGCUGUUAUUGGGCCUAAAGCGUCCGUAGCUGGCCAGACAAGUUCAUCGGGAAAUCUGCGCGCCUAACGCGCAGGCGUCCGGUGGAAACUGCCUGGCUUGGGACCGGAAGACCAGAGGGGUACGUCUGGGGUAGGAGUGAAAUCCCGUAAUCCUGGACGGACCACCGGUGGCGAAAGCGCCUCUGGAAGACGGAUCCGACGGUGAGGGACGAAAGCUCGGGUCACGAACCGGAUUAGAUACCCGGGUAGUCCGAGCUGUAAACGAUGUCUGCUAGGUGUGACACAGGCUACGAGCCUGUGUUGUGCCGUAGGGAAGCCGUGAAGCAAACCGCCUGGGAAGUACGUCCGCAAGGAUGAAACUUAAAGGAAUUGGCGGGGGGAGCACAAA
RNAcentral lists this ribosomal RNA (498 nucleotides) under uncultured Natrialba sp. RNAcentral describes it as "bacterial SSU rRNA". It matches the Rfam family "Archaeal small subunit ribosomal RNA", at positions 385 to 882 of the family's 1478-position model. Lineage: Archaea; Methanobacteriati; Methanobacteriota; Halobacteria; Halobacteriales; Natrialbaceae. The record is from RNAcentral.